RNAcentral lists this ribosomal RNA (379 nucleotides) under uncultured eukaryote. RNAcentral's name for it is "partial 18S ribosomal RNA". It matches the Rfam family "Eukaryotic small subunit ribosomal RNA", at positions 592 to 976 of the family's 1831-position model. The record is from RNAcentral.
CAAUAGCGUAUAUUAAAGUUGUUGCGGUAAAAAAGCUCGUAGUUGGAUUUCUGUUGAGAGCGACCGGUCCAUACCAUGUAUGCGUAUCUGGCUUGCUCUCGGCAUCCUCUCGAUAGACGUUACUGCGCUUGAUUGCGUGGUGCGGAUCUCGGGACUUUUACUUUGAGGAAAUUAGAGUGUUCACGGCAGGCUUUCGCCAGAAUACAUUAGCAUGGAAUAAUACUAUAGGAUCUUGGUUCUAUUUUGUUGGUUUCUAGAAUUGAGAUAAUGAUUAAUAGGGACAAUUGGGGGCAUUCGUAUCAACACGUCAGAGGUGGAAUUCUUGGAUUGUGUUGCGACGAACUGCUGCGAAAGCAUUUGCCAAGGAUGUUUUCAUUGA